RNAcentral lists this long non-coding RNA (875 nucleotides) under Homo sapiens (human). Its description in RNAcentral is "HSALNT0284079". Lineage: Eukaryota; Metazoa; Chordata; Mammalia; Primates; Hominidae. The record is from RNAcentral.
GAAAUCCUUUUCACUGGUCUUGUGGAGGUGAUCUCUAGACUCUCAAAAUGUUUUGCCCGGUAGAAGUGUCUUUCUUUGCUUGUGGUCUUUGGCCAUCAGGCAGUUUAUCAAUAGGAUUUAUAAGGGAGGCUUUGGCCAUGCAGUCUCUGUUAUGCCUCCAGAAGGGACUGGAAAAUAAAGGCCUUAACUUGCCCAUUGGGAAGGACUGGAGACUACAGGUCAGCAUAUAUAGACAAUAUAUUACCUAGCCCCAAUAAAAACUCUGUAUACUGAAAUACAGAGUAAGCUUCCUGGAUUGGCAAUAUUCCAUGCAUAUUGUGACACAAUUAAGCAAGGCAAGGAGGAAUUAUCACCAUCCAUGUUUACAUGGGGAGGAGACAAUCAGAAGAUUUGUGCUUGGGCUCUUCCUGAACUCUCCCGUGUGUCUUUUAUUUUGGCUUAUUUUAAUCUAUAUCACUUUCUUGUAAUAAACUGGGACUAUGAAUAUAGCAACUUUCAGUAAGUUCUAUGAGUCCUUGUAGCAAACUAUCAAAUGCAAGCAUAGAUUUUAAAACCCUUAAACUUGUAAUUGGUGUUAAAAGUGAAAGCAACCUUCUGGGGAUUGUUCUCCCCAACUUUGAAAUUGGUUAAAUUCAUUACAACCUCAAACAUCACAAAAUCUAACAAAAUAAUUAUAUAUUUUUAUUAAUUAUUCUCAUGGAUUUCUAUAGUUCAUUGUUUUCUACUUUGUUGACUCUUUUGCAUUUGAUUAUUUGUCCCGAUGCUAAAUAAUUGUUAAUCAUUUUCCAUAGAGACUGUACAAAUAUAACUUAGUAUUUCUUUUACCAUGGAUAAUACGACUUGUCAUUAACAACUUUGGUGUUAUAGGAACGUCG